GAUGAAGAACGCAGUGAAAUGCGAUACGCAAUGUGAAUUGCAGAAUUCAGUGAAUCAUCGAGUCUUUGAACGCACAUUGCGCCCCCUGGUAUUCCGGGGGGCAUGCCUGUCCGAGCGUCAUUGCUGCCCUCAAGCACGGCUUGUGUGUUGGGCCUCCGUCCUCCUCCCGGGGGACGGGCCCGAAAGGCAGCGGCGGCACCGCGUCCGGUCCUCGAGCGUAUGGGGCUUCGUCACCCGCUCUUGUAGGCCCGGCCGGCGCUUGCCGACACAUCAAUCUUUUUUCCAGGUUGACCUCGGAUCAGGUAGGGAUACCCGCUGAACUUAAGCAUAUCAAUAAGCGGAGGA
Molecule: unclassified non-coding RNA, 345 nt
Filed under: soil metagenome
Description: partial contains 5.8S ribosomal RNA, internal transcribed spacer 2, and large subunit ribosomal RNA
Rfam family: 5.8S ribosomal RNA (bases 1-120)
Source: RNAcentral